AGCCAUGUGUGAAGCACAAAGUGAUUAUUCUUUCGCCUUUUACUAAAGAAUAUUGUGUGCUUGUCGCAAAUAGUGGCAUAUGCCUAUUUUUGGAAGACUUCAUCUUUGGGUUGCCU
This is a small nuclear RNA of Impatiens glandulifera, 116 nucleotides long. RefSeq annotates it as U5 spliceosomal RNA. The transcript has a single exon. The record is from RefSeq and is a predicted model, not a curated record. NCBI's taxonomy places the organism in Eukaryota, Viridiplantae, Streptophyta, Magnoliopsida, Ericales, Balsaminaceae.